RNAcentral lists this ribosomal RNA (747 nucleotides) under Streptococcus cristatus. RNAcentral describes it as "bacterial SSU rRNA". It matches the Rfam family "Bacterial small subunit ribosomal RNA", at positions 51 to 786 of the family's 1533-position model. Lineage: Bacteria; Bacillati; Bacillota; Bacilli; Lactobacillales; Streptococcaceae. The record is from RNAcentral.
AUACAUGCAGUAGACGCUGAGGAGGAGCUUGCUCUUCUGGAUGAGUUGCGAACGGGUGAGUAACGCGUAGGUAACCUGCCUGGUAGCGGGGGAUAACUAUUGGAAACGAUAGCUAAUACCGCAUAACAUUGACUAUUGCAUGAUAGUCAAUUGAAAGGUGCAAAUGCACCACUACCAGAUGGACCUGCGUUGUAUUAGCUAGUUGGUGGGGUAACGGCUCACCAAGGCGACGAUACAUAGCCGACCUGAGAGGGUGAUCGGCCACACUGGGACUGAGACACGGCCCAGACUCCUACGGGAGGCAGCAGUAGGGAAUCUUCGGCAAUGGACGAAAGUCUGACCGAGCAACGCCGCGUGAGUGAAGAAGGUUUUCGGAUCGUAAAGCUCUGUUGUAAGAGAAGAACGAGUGUGAGAGUGGAAAGUUCACACUGUGACGGUAUCUUACCAGAAAGGGACGGCUAACUACGUGCCAGCAGCCGCGGUAAUACGUAGGUCCCGAGCGUUGUCCGGAUUUAUUGGGCGUAAAGCGAGCGCAGGCGGUUAGAUAAGUCUGAAGUUAAAGGCUGUGGCUUAACCAUAGUACGCUUUGGAAACUGUUUAACUUGAGUGCAGAAGGGGAGAGUGGAAUUCCAUGUGUAGCGGUGAAAUGCGUAGAUAUAUGGAGGAACACCGGUGGCGAAAGCGGCUCUCUGGUCUGUAACUGACGCUGAGGCUCGAAAGCGUGGGGAGCAAACAGGAUUAGAUACC